GGGUGCGGGCCGGCGGGG
RNAcentral lists this microRNA (18 nucleotides) under Homo sapiens (human). RNAcentral's name for it is "hsa-miR-4466". The record is from miRBase by way of RNAcentral. Lineage: Eukaryota; Metazoa; Chordata; Mammalia; Primates; Hominidae.